AGCUCUUCUUUGCCUUUUGGCUUAGAUCAAGUGUAGUAUCUGUUCUUUUCAGUUUAAUCUCUGAAAGAUGCCUAUUGGCAUCAAUCUUGAUUAUUCCUAUUUUUUGAUUCUCGAAGUCCGGCCUCUGUGGCUUGCUGCAUGCCGACUUCACCGUGUCCCUGGUAUUUCACUGCCUCCAGGAGACGCAAACCGUG
This 194-nucleotide small nuclear RNA is filed under the name Colletotrichum higginsianum. RNAcentral's name for it is "U2 spliceosomal RNA". It matches the Rfam family "U2 spliceosomal RNA". Rfam says of the family: U2 is a small nuclear RNA (snRNA) component of the spliceosome (involved in pre-mRNA splicing). Complementary binding between U2 snRNA (in an area lying towards the 5' end but 3' to hairpin I) and the branchpoint sequence (BPS) of the intron results the bulging out of an unpaired adenosine, on the BPS, which initiates a nucleophilic attack at the intronic 5' splice site, thus starting the first of two transesterification reactions that mediate splicing. Lineage: Eukaryota; Fungi; Ascomycota; Sordariomycetes; Glomerellales; Glomerellaceae. The record is from RNAcentral.